GAUGAACGCUGGCGGCGUGCCUAAUACAUGCAAGUCGAGCGAACGGACGAGAAGCUUGCUUCUCUGAUGUUAGCGGCGGACGGGUGAGUAACACGUGGAUAACCUACCUAUAGGACUGGGAUAACUUCGGGAAACCGGAGCUAAUACCGGAUGAUAUUUUGAACCGCAUGGUUCAAAAGUGAAAGACGGUCUUGCUGUCACUUAUAGAUGGAUCCGCGCUGCAUUAGCUAGUUGGUAAGGUAACGGCUUACCAAGGCAACGAUGCAUAGCCGACCUGAGAGGGUGAUCGGCCACACUGGAACUGAGACACGGUCCAGACUCCUACGGGAGGCAGCAGUAGGGAAUCUUCCGCAAUGGGCGAAAGCCUGACGGAGCAACGCCGCGUGAGUGAUGAAGGUCUUCGGAUCGUAAAACUCUGCUAUUAGGGAAGAACAUAUGUGUAAGUAACUGUGCACAUCUUGACGGUACCUAAUCAGAAAGCCACGGCUAACUACGUG
This 497-nucleotide ribosomal RNA is filed under the name uncultured bacterium. RNAcentral describes it as "partial 16S ribosomal RNA". It matches the Rfam family "Bacterial small subunit ribosomal RNA", at positions 28 to 507 of the family's 1533-position model. The record is from RNAcentral.